Lepisosteus oculatus (spotted gar) is the source of this 119-nucleotide ribosomal RNA. Lineage: Eukaryota; Metazoa; Chordata; Actinopteri; Semionotiformes; Lepisosteidae. The record is from Ensembl.
UUCAGCAGCCAUAUCACCCUGCAACUCACAACUGGUAACCCACUGAAGCUAAGCAGGUGUGAGCCUGGUCAGUACCUGGAUGGGAGACUUCCUGGGAAAAACUAAGGUUGCUGCUGGAA